This 463-nucleotide ribosomal RNA is filed under the name uncultured bacterium. RNAcentral's name for it is "partial 16S ribosomal RNA". It matches the Rfam family "Bacterial small subunit ribosomal RNA", at positions 28 to 507 of the family's 1533-position model. The record is from RNAcentral.
GACGAACGCUGGCGGCACGCCUAACACAUGCCAGUCGAACGGACUUACAAGAGCUUGCUUUUUUAAGUUAGUGGCGGACGGGUGAGUAACACGUGAGCAACCUGCCUCUGAGAGGGGGAUAGCUUCUGGAAACGGAUGGUAAUACCCCAUAAAAUAUAAAUAUCGCAUGAUAGAUAUAUCAAAGAAAUUCGCUCAGAGAUGGGCUCGCGUCUGAUUAGAUAGUUGGUGAGGUAACGGCUCACCAAGUCGACGAUCAGUAGCCGGACUGAGAGGUUGAACGGCCACAUUGGGACUGAGACACGGCCCAGACUCCUACGGGAGGCAGCAGUGGGGAAUAUUGCACAAUGGAGGGAACUCUGAUGCAGCGAUGCCGCGUGGAGGAAGAAGGUUUUCGGAUUGUAAACUCCUUUUAUCAGGGACGAUAAUGACGGUACCUGAAGAAAAAGCUCCGGCUAACUACGUG